Rattus norvegicus (Norway rat) is the source of this 798-nucleotide long non-coding RNA. Lineage: Eukaryota; Metazoa; Chordata; Mammalia; Rodentia; Muridae. The record is from Ensembl.
GUUUCAUGGGGCGGUGCGGGUGUGGUGGGGGAACGGCAAACAUUACUUCACUUAACUGCAAUGAACCAUCUCCAAGGUUAUAUGGGGAGAACUGCCAGUUUAAGGCAGGCUUCAGUGAACUCCUGAAUAUUUACAAGCUGCGAGCCUGGACAGGUGUAACUGCUCUCCAGGGAUGCAGCUGUGAAAGAGGCGAGGACUCAGCUCACUCCAGAGCCGACGGAACUCAGAGAAGCAGAGUCGCCGGACCAAGCACUGCCCAAGAAGAGGGAUGGGGACCAGGCGGUGCCGGGCUACGGUGGUCCUCCGGGUGCCAUAAAUGCUAAAAUCACCCAUCUCCUGUAAUCCUGCAUCUGUGCUCUCAAGAGUGAGAUGGUUAAGUUCACCGCUUUGUGGAGCUGGCUGCGGAUGGCUUCUGUGUGGUCCUCUGUCCCGGGAGAAGAUAGAGCGCAGGCUGAUGGGAAGGCUCAGCCGGUGAAGACACUCGCUUCCACACCUGUGGCCUGAGUGCAAUCCUGGUGAGCUUCAUGGUGGAAGCAGAGAACUGAGGCCAUAAGGAGUCCUCUGACUGCUACAUCUGUGCCUCGCACACUCUCCCAGUAACUAAAACUGUCAUUAAAACCUUAAAAGGGGCUGGAGGGAUGGCUCAGCGGUUAAGAGCACUGCCCGCUCUUCCAGAGGUCAUGAGUUCAAAUCCCAGCAACCACACGGUGGCUCACAACCAUCUGUAAUGGGAUCGGAUGCCCUCUUCUAGUGUGUCUGAAGACAGCGACGGUGUACCCACAUACAUAAAAUAAAUAA